Molecule: non-coding RNA, 819 nt
Organism: Heterocephalus glaber (naked mole-rat)
Lineage: Eukaryota; Metazoa; Chordata; Mammalia; Rodentia; Bathyergidae
Source: RefSeq, a predicted model, not a curated record
CUCUAAUGCCCGUUUUUCAGAAGAAAAAAGCUUGUGGGACUCCAGACCCUGAGCUCCGCUGCUGUACCUAGAAGCGGAGUCGAAACCACUUCCUCCCUGCCAGCCACCCAGACACGCGCUCCUGACGCACAGGGCCUUCUUGAGAGUGCAGUUUUACUUGCAGGUCGCCCUGGAGCUGUGCACAGGGCCUUCUUGAGAGUGCAGUUUUACUUGCAGGUCGCCCUGGAGCUGUGCACAGGGCCUUCUUGAGAGUGCAGUUUUACUUGCAGGUCGCCCUGGAGCUGUUUCGGGGCGGUGAGUGGUAACUGGGGAGUGGAUCAGCUUGUGGCUCCCCCACCCAGCAGGAAACCAAAACAGUGCAGUAUCGAAUUUGGCUGAAAUAUUUAUGUGUGGAGAGAAGGAUUCCUUUGCCCACAUGCUUGUUCGGUGGAGAAGUUAGCCUGAUGUCCAGCACAUUCCCGUUACCAGCUGAGACUUUGCUUACUCCGUGUCUGGACAUAAAUUACAGCUCUAGGCCUAGGGGAAAAUGUUUACAUCGUCUGAGGAACACGGGCUUAAGGCUGAGGCUGAUUCCAGGGGAGUUGUUUUACAUCAGUAUAAGUUGUAGAUGAUGGUAGUCACAAAAAUAAAUCUUGUUUAUAUAUACAAAUGAGCUCUGGAGUAGAGUGACAAUCCUCCCUCCCCAACACCACUAAAAAGUGAAAAUAGUUUGAGCUCCACUGCCACAAUUAUUUUAAUAUUACAAAUCUCUGCUUUGCAUUAGUUUUAGCAGACUAUCAGUGUCUUUAUUAAUGAAAUAAAAUCUUAUGUAUUCAUUUC